Molecule: small nuclear RNA, 107 nt
Filed under: Sciurus vulgaris (Eurasian red squirrel)
Lineage: Eukaryota; Metazoa; Chordata; Mammalia; Rodentia; Sciuridae
Source: RNAcentral
GUGCUCGCUUUGGCAGCACAUAUACUAAAAUUAGAAUGAUACAGAGAAGAUUAGCAUGGCCCCUGCGCAAGGAUGACACACAAAUUUGUGAAGCGUUCCAUAUUUUU